CGAGCAACUCACAGGUCCACUACUGUACAACCCGCGACUCUACUCGGAAACCCUCUGGCCAGUUCCUUAGAUGUCACCUAGAAUUGUCAUGGUAUCCUAUGACCGGCUGGUCAAACCUCAUGACCAAUUCUAACAUCUCACUAACAGACAAUAUUAUAUAUACAAAUUUUUGUAACAGUAGCAGAUGCUCGCAGCGCCAUUAUUGUGAAAAUCCCUGGAUGGUACCAGCGGGAUUCGAACCCUCAAUCUCGGGAUCUAAAGGC
This 263-nucleotide long non-coding RNA is filed under the name Mytilus galloprovincialis (Mediterranean mussel). The record is from RNAcentral. Lineage: Eukaryota; Metazoa; Mollusca; Bivalvia; Mytilida; Mytilidae.